RNAcentral lists this unclassified non-coding RNA (2124 nucleotides) under uncultured fungus. Its description in RNAcentral is "sequence contains 18S rRNA gene, ITS1, 5.8S rRNA gene, ITS2, 28S rRNA gene". The stretch from base 1005 to 2124 matches the Rfam family "Eukaryotic large subunit ribosomal RNA", at positions 1 to 961 of the family's 3401-position model. Lineage: Eukaryota; Fungi. The record is from RNAcentral.
GGAGGGAUCAUUAACACGUAUCCAACACGUUCAAACCCAAACCGUGCUCUUUAAUUCCCAUACGGAAAAGGUGACUAGUAAGCCAUGGAUGGAUUUCUCGCUCUCAAGAGUUCUCUCUGGGGUGUCGAGAACUACUUACAGUCUAUCGAUCCUUUGAGAUCAGCCUAUUCUGCUAUGGUGUAAUCUCCAAGCCAUCUGGGUUACUAGUACCAACCCGGUUUCGACCCGGAGUCUAGUAGCCUUACUCAACCCUAUUUUUUAACCCCUUUAUUUUACUAUUUUACUGACUUACACAAAACUUGCAUUUAAUUUUGCAGUUUUGUAUACGAAACGCGAACAACUCUUAGCAAUGGAUAUCUUGGUUCUCGUACCGAUGAAGAACGCAGCGAAAUGCGAUACGUAAUGCGAAUUGCAGAAUUCAGUGAAUCAUCAAAUCUUUGAACGCAAAUUGCGCUCUCGGGAUAGCCCUGGGAGCAUGCCUCUCUGAGUAUCGGUUCCAACACUACUCGACAGCGUACUUUUAUUAUUAUUAAUAUUGGUACUGCUAACGGAAAAUGAGUGUCUCAAUUACUGAACAAAUUGAGUCACUUGAAAAUCAUACGAAACUUCAGAACUCCUAGUAGCAAACUUUUAGCUGGUCUUCGGACUAUCUAGAAUAGCCCUUGGACUAUAUCCUUGUUGAUUUCUCUUAGUCAAAAAAUCGUAUUAUUUGAUUUAGUGGAAUUGCAGGACAAAGGUGGCUUGUUUACUGGUGACGUGGAUAGAAUGCCUUCGGGUAUUUCAAAACGUCAAUGCCUUUAUUCGAGUCCAAACUUUUCCUGUAUAUUUUUUUUGCUAUUCAUUUAAUUCCGUUCAGUCCUAGUACUUAAGAGUGGUCAAUGUCUUUUUAGUAAGAGGGAUAUGUCUUUGGUGUGAACUGCUUUCUGGUGUGAGCCGCUGAUUAUAGUUUCCGAAGAAAUUAAACUAUCAAAGGGUUUUUAUUUUCCCUUUGGUUCUUUGAAAAUAGAUCUCAGAUGAAGCAAGAGGACCCCCUGAAUUUAAGCAUAUUAUUAAGGGGAGGAAAAGAAACUAACAAGGAUUCCCCUAGUAACGGCGAGUGAAGCGGGAUGAGCUCAAAUUGAAAAUCGGCAACCCAUGCGGGUUGUCGAAUUGUAGCCUAGAGACGUAUUGUCAGCGUGUGGCCCAGGUAUAAAUCUUUUGAAACAAGGUAUCAUAGAGGGUGAGAAUCCCGUCUUUGACCUGGAGAUCGCCGCGUACGACGUACGUUCGUAGAGUCGAGUUGCUUGGGAAUGCAGCUCUAAAUGGGUGGUAAAUUUCAUCUAAAGCUAAAUAUCGACGAGAGACCGAUAGCGAACAAGUACCGUGAGGGAAAGAUGAAAAGAACUUUGAAAGAGAGUUAAAAAGUACUUGAAAUUGUUAAGAGGGAAGCGCUGGAAACCAGUCAUUAUCUAUAAUUAUACUUACUAUUUGCUCUCGAAGGAUAUUGCGGAUUAGAGCGUAAGCCUAGUCGGGUAUCGGACGAAGGGUAAGUGGGUCCUGUAAUUGUAGAUGGGUCAGAAUCAAUUCGAUUCGCGGGUGAAGACUAUGGGAAAGGUAGGAUCUCCGGAUCUGUUAUAGUCCUAUAGGCCUGACCGUGGGUUGGAUUGAGGAUGUUUAAUAUGCGCCGCAAGGUUUCGAUUGCUUAUUUCUGCUGGGUCAGCUGCUUUGGAGAACAAUGUUCUGCGGGUGGCGAAGCCUGGUACUAAGUGGGACAAUCAGAUGCAUAUUCGCGAUUCUGACGAAAUGGUUUUCAUCGACCCGUCUUGAAACACGGACCAAGGAGUCUAACAUGUAUGCGAGUAUUUGGGUGGUAAACCCUGAUGCGUAAUGAAAGUGAAGGUAGUUUCGGCUACUGAGGUAGGAAUCCCUGUCACAGGGGAGGCACUAUCGACCGAUCGUCACUUGUGAUAGAUUUGAGUAAGAGCAUAUCUGUUGGGACCCGAAAGAUGGUGAUCUAUGCCUGAACAGGGUGAAGCCAGGGGAAACUCUGGUGGAGGCUCGUAGCGAUACUGACGUGCAAAUCGUUCGUCUGAUUUGGGUAUAGGGGCGAAAGACUAAUCGAACCAUCUAGUAGCUGGUUCCCUC